Molecule: ribosomal RNA, 647 nt
Filed under: uncultured bacterium
Lineage: Bacteria
Description: bacterial SSU rRNA
Rfam family: Bacterial small subunit ribosomal RNA
Source: RNAcentral
GUAACACACCGGAACAUACCCAGUCGUGGGGGAUAACACUUCGAAAGAAGUGCUAAUACCGCAUACGUCCUGAGGGAGAAAGCGGGGGAUCUUCGGACCUCGCGCGAUUGGAGUGGCCGAUGUCAGAUUAGCUAGUUGGUGGGGUAAAGGCCUACCAAGGCGACGAUCUGUAGCUGGUCUGAGAGGACGACCAGCCACACUGGGACUGAGACACGGCCCAGACUCCUACGGGAGGCAGCAGUGGGGAAUUUUGGACAAUGGGGGCAACCCUGAUCCAGCCAUUCCGCGUGAGUGAAGAAGGCCUUCGGGUUGUAAAGCUCUUUCGGCAGGAACGAAACGGCACGCUCUAACAUAGCGUGUUAAUGACGGUACCUGAAGAAGAAGCACCGGCUAACUACGUGCCAGCAGCCGCGGUAAUACGUAGGGUGCGAGCGUUAAUCGGAAUUACUGGGCGUAAAGCGUGCGCAGGCGGUUGUGUAAGACAGGUGUGAAAUCCCCGGGCUUAACCUGGGAACUGCGCUUGUGACUGCACGGCUAGAGUAUGGCAGAGGGGGGUGGAAUUCCACGUGUAGCAAUGAAAUGCGUAGAGAUGUGGAGGAACACCGAUGGCGAAGGCAGCCCCCUGGGCCAAUACUGACGCUCAUGCA